Hemibagrus wyckioides is the source of this 6091-nucleotide long non-coding RNA. RefSeq lists it as uncharacterized. The record is from RefSeq and is a predicted model, not a curated record. NCBI's taxonomy places the organism in Eukaryota, Metazoa, Chordata, Actinopteri, Siluriformes, Bagridae. The transcript has 5 exons.
UUUACUUCAAGCCUUUGACUUGAUAGACCUAGGUCACAGGAUUGCUGGAUGCCAACAUCUCUGACCUGAAGCUAUGUUAAGUCAAAAAUAAUUGCUAGCCGAGACAAACACUUGUAGGUUGCGCUAUCUGUAGCCCCAUUUUCUGGCCCUUAAAUUCUGCAGAGCAUGACUGUCCGAGUUUUUGUAGAGAUGUGGUUUGAGUUAAAAGCCUGUCACAGAAUGAUCUUUGCAGUUGAGCGUUGCGUCACUCUGUUUCUGGAGUCGUUUGUCUCUAUUAACGAAUCAUUGAGGCCUGGAGAAAAGGGGGAUGGAAGGAGACUUAAAACCUGGGAAAACUGAUUAAAACAGUCUGACGAGGACCAUCUGUGGAAUGCCAUUUUAAUGAAUACCUUUCAUUUGGGGUUGUGGCAUUCGAAAGGCAAGUAGCUGCCGAAACCUCAUUAAUAACAUCCCAGCUGAAAACCAGAGAGCAAGAAAGAAAAACAAAAUCUGAUAUCAUCUUUCUUAAGCAAACAUCACACAAGCUGAAUUGAGAAGAAGCAGUACUUACUUUGGUGAAGGCCAAUGCCAAAAAAUGACUAGGUCUCAAUGGAAUUUUAAUGGAUGAACCUCGGCACAUGGAUCCCUUUCAGGGGUCGGGUUUUGAGGGUCCAGCAUAUGGAAAGAAGAUUGCAGGACCACCUCCAGUGAGGGAGAGGCAGAGAGAUGACAUUAGACAACCCCUACUGAGCUGAAGAUGAGAUUUUCUGGCAUUAUUAUUGGUUUCAUAAAGCUUUUCUCAGAUUUAAAUCUUUUCUUACCAGUAAAUAAUCCGGUAUUUAAAAAGAAGUGAUAAGAGCAUGUUUUGUUUCCUGUAAAACAACCAGGACUGUGUUUUUAAUCAUUGUAUAGAUGUGAACAUUAGCCGGACCACGGUAGCACUACUUCACCAGGACAAAUUUGGCUUCUUGAUGGAAUGUAGAGCCAGCCUCCAUGUGCCAAAUGCUGACACACAAAAAAAAGGAGAAAGGAAAAGUCUCAAACGUUUAGCUUAUAAAACCCAUUUGGACAAAGACUCGAAGUUUGUGAACCUUGACAGCGGUGGAUUCUAGUGGGAAAGAAAGUUAAAUAAAGAAUACAAACGCAGCUAAUGAAAAUAAGACUUGUGCAUUUCAAGACUUCCAGGACAAUUAUCUAUCAGACUGUUUUACGUUUCCCAAACCGAUGCCAAGAAACCGUCUUCCUGAAUCCACCUGAGCGCUGCCAGCAGGGACUCAUCACCUCUGUUCUGCAAAGUGUGUCAGCGUGUCGAGACCUGAGUGUGUUUUACAGGCGUCAUGGAUGGAGCGACAGGAAAAUUGGUCCUACAGCAAGAGCUGUUAUUUCGUCUUGUAAAUCAAUGUGUACUUCAGCAUAGGGACAGAUGCUACAUGUUGUUGUGUAUUGUGAGGAAUCUGUUUAUCAUCCAUGGCAAUGUGAUGGAAUACUGGCACUGAUAAACUAUGAAGCUGUGAAGUGUAUCCAAGUCAACCACUAAUAAAAGAUCAUUUCGAGUUAGACAUCACAAAUCAGUCAAUGCUUCAAUGUGAAAGAUUCAAUUUCAUAAGGUAAAGUCAGUUGCAUUGCUAUUUUAUUUACAAAGCAGAGAUCUGUAAUGAUGAGUAUGUCUUUUUAGCUGCUUUAUCCUCGUGAACCCCGGAUUCCACUCCUCAAUGAUAUGAUGAGUCUUCUAUUUCUCCCAUCUUUACUUAAAGACCGUUAUUUGACUUUCAUGUCUGAAUAUCCCUCUUAACUUGAGAUCAGAGCAACAAGAACCGACUGGUUCCUCCCAAUGUGUCUCUAGAGUUUUCUUUAGACCUGAUCCCAGAUCUCAAGAAUGUUAUUCAUCCCAAACUCCCAAACUCAGCUGUCACAUCCAGCAUCUGUUUUAAUCAGGAAAAACUGCAGGAAAGAUUCAGCGUUAGAUUGACCUAGUUAUGAUCUCAUCAUAUCAGCUAGUUUCAAUAGUGUGUCAGUAAUAAUUAAUCCAACUUAAGAGGCACAACAUAUAGCAGCAUAUUGAUGUAUGUAGUUUACAGAUCUUGUCUAAAAAAUCUUACAAAUGCUUUGAAUGGUGUGUCGUCGUUUGCGACAGCCGCUUCUAGUAAGUUUAAACUUUAAUCUUAUUGGAUUUGUUGCAAAGCAAUUAAGUAUAUGAAGUGCAGAAAAUCAUGAGGUCAUCAUAACACAAAAGCACUAAAGCCAGACUUUAACUUUGAUGCAGAUGUGCUUCAGCCACAUCUGCACUUGGGUGGACAGAGAUUUCUUCGUUGGUCCUGAUAAUAAAGAUACAUAGAUACUCUAUAGUAUCUGUGUCCUCAUUAACUCCAGUGUUAGAGACACUUGUCUCUGUCCGGCUGUUAAUCCAACACUCUUUGCUUGUGAAUUCAAGGAAAUAAUUACUGCCUCUUCAGCAUGUGGGUCAGUGGUCUGUCCGGUGAAUUAGACCAGCUGCUGAAAGACAUUAAAAAAAAUGAACAUUUGAUAUCAGGCUAAAACAAACCCAGAAAUCUGCUUUCAGCAACUGUUGCUGUCCCAGGAGGCAUGACACCAAUCCUCCAGCGGUGGGUUCUUUUCCAAAGUCAUUCAAAACACACCAAGCAGCUGCGUAUUUUGGUCUGGAGACAAUAAAUAGCGAAUACAACUGAGGAUAAAACAAGGCCAAGAACUCCGACCCUUCCAUACACUGAUUUCCCAGGUGUCAAAUCAAAGCUUUUGAGUUUUUUUUGUUAAUUAUCGUUACAGAGUUGUAACAAUGCGGACAAAUUUUUAGUCACGGAUCAGUAAAGAGGCUGACUAGUCAUCUUUUCCAUAGUUAUAGCAAACAAAAAAAGUAUUUCGUUUUUUUUUCUUUCUCUGGUCUUUCUCUGGAUGAAUGAUGUGAUGUCUAUAAGAGCAGCAUCUGGAAGGAUUUCUGCCAGUAUUUGUAGUGUCCGAGUCUCUGAAGGUCAGACUCUGGUCUCAGGCGCUGGUCACAACCACAUUCACUUCCACUUCCUGUAGAACUGACUUCAACUAUUCUGCAAAUCAUUUCAAACCAACUAACUAAAAUUAGCCUGUUUUGCCUCCAGAUUGCCUGCUGACUAGUGAAUGAAUUGGUCAACUACUCAAUUUAACCCAGAUUCUGAAACCAGAGGAGGAGAGAGGCAGCAGAGCAACUCUUCCUGAGUGCGGGCGUGGCCGUGUGCAUGCGUAUGAUGACAGGCCUCUUUGAUCUUAGCACACCUCAAGCUUUUAAGUGCCCUAAUAAGAGCUGCAACCCUGUCAUUCACGCCAAGCUGCUUUUGUCGAGGGACGUUGUUGCUGACCCAGAGCUCUUCAUCCAGCGAUCUCUUUUGUGGUCUGCAGAAGGUCGGUUAAUGGAAAAGUGUGUGCGUGUCGUUGCAUUAGUCCCUUUAAUCACAUCAGACUCGUGUCUCAAUUACAAGGUGGAAGUCGACGCAGGAAAACAAGGUGCCUUGUCUACGGUUUAUACUUAUCAUGAAAAAGAGCUCAUAUCUGCUUGAAACUUUCUGUGAGAGACGGCUACUGUGCUUUUUUUUCUCUUCACAUUUCUUUUCCUUGAAAUGACAGCGAACUGAAGAAAGAUAUUGCAGAGAUGAAUUCCUUUGCUAGACACUUUUAUCUUAAAUAAUUUAGGACAGGACACUAAAAAAAACUCUUGAUUUGAGAGUUUUUAAAUUUCUCAUCCACAUUCCACACAAAUGACUGUAUACGACUAUAAUAAAAAAAAGAUCAUUAUUUAUAAUCACACUCUCCGGUGUCACCCAAAUGGAGGAUAAGGUUCCCUUCUGAGUCUGGUUCCUCUCAAGGUUUCUCAGGGAGUUUUUCCUCUUCGGGCUUCCUUACUAAGGAUAAAUACAAAUAUUACUUUAAAUAUAAGUCUAAUAUUAAUCUUGAACUUCUUGUACUAUAUUUCUUAUAUUUUGUAAAUCUGCUUUGAGAUAAGUCCAUGGUUAAAAGCACUGUACAAAUAAAAUUGAACUGAACUGAACAGAUUUUAAAUAUACUUUUGAAAUUCUAAGAACCUCUGCACCAUCUUACAUCAGAUCUUUUAGCACUACUCGACUGGGCCCAGGGUACAAGGUAGGUAUGAUUCAAGACUCUCCUCUGUUCUGGCAGCUAGGAGGUAGAAUGAACUUCCCCUAGAUGUUUGAACAGCUGAUUCACUUUCGAGUGAAGACCUACUUCUUUCUAAAAUAUGUAAACUAGUACUUUUUUCCAUAAAACUUGUUUAUAUUACCUCUCAAAAGUGGUUAAGACUCAUAGUACACUUAGUCUGUGAGACAUUAGGUCAUGGCCGGCCCAAGGGAUGGGGUAGCUUAGUGCUUAAGGUGUUGGGAUACUGUUUAGAAGGUUGUGAGUUUGAAUCCCAGGUCUACAAAGCUGCCACUGCUGGGCCCCUGAGCAAAGCCCUAAACCCUCAAUUCAAGUCGCUCUGGAUAAGGACAUCUGCCAAUUGCUAGAAAUGUAAAUGUUUUGCAUGUGAAAUAAAAAUGUUCUUCUGAUUUGCUUAUCCUUCUAGAUGUCCUAGUGUGCUUCAGGGCUUAAUAGAGUUAUCACACCUGCUGGUCAAAAAUAGGAACUGCAACCAGAGCUAAUACAGGCCCAUUGGGGUGGGAACCAUGCUGCCCCAUGCUACUGCUCACUGCUCUGAAUAUUUAUUGAAGGAGGAGCAGUGUACAGGAUAAAUAAUGAUAGGGUUGCCAGUGCCUUUGAUAUUAAACCAAAUACUCUGAUCUACUCUUAUCACAGUCAGUAAAUAUAAGUGUGUGGAUGAUGUACAGAGCAAUUACUAUUGCAAAGAUUGGGUGAUGGACAGGGGCAUUAUGGAGAAGAUAAUGCAUGGACAGCAUGGUGACCUUCUUUUCCCGUGUGAAGAGAAUCCCUUUUUUUCAACGUCCAGAGUCUUUGAGAAACCUGUCAACUGUUCAUAAUAAUGUCUGUGUGCUCUUCUCUGGCUGUAUUAAACUCUCUGUCUCUGUCCUAACUCACCAAAAUCUACGGUCAUCAGAAGUUGCUAGAUCUACCCCCAAGGGGUACCACCCAAAUGCCACACUAUUUUAUCCUGAAAGGUGCAAUUUAGUUCACUGCUCUGAAGAGACAGGAGCCUAAAUUUGUCUGCUGAUGUGUCAAAACAUGCGUUGUCAUUACAUAAAUGUCAUCAGGAUUCAAUAAAGCAGCGGGCAACUAUGUCAACAAAGCUACCCGCAAUUUCAAUGGAAUCAGAGGGGCUGGAAAAAAGUUGCCCUUUUAGCGAGGGAUCUCACAACAUAGAUCAGCCUUUGUUUAAUUUUCCUAGCGCAAGGAUUCCAACUUACUUAUAACGUUUCAUUAGAAUAAAUUAGAUGAUGAUUAAUGAAAGUCUUCAAGAGCUUGUUGGGUAAAAUGAGGAAUUAGGCAUGUCGGAAUUAAUCUGCAAGAUCUCGGGAAGCAGGGUUCGAGGAGAAAGUUAAGAUCUUGUCAUCUGGGAUUUCCAGAAGCUUUCGCUCUUCAUCCAAGUUGGCCUUAACACUGCAAAGCCAUACUGGAUUCGGAGAAGGUCAGCGAGUCUUGGAGGAGAGUGAAAAGUGAAAAGCCCGGCUUGUUCUUUCAGGAUAACGAAAGGAGACGAUGAUGAUAAUAUCGUUCAGCACUCACCAGUGAACGAGUUUACACAAUGGAGGUGUGUUGUCUCAGUAAGGAUUUAUAGUGGCUAAAACACCUACAUAACAUGUCGUGCGUAAUACCGCGGCGGGUUAAAUAUUAUUUCAGAAUAUUAGACAUUACUUACAGACACUUAUGUCAUGUAGUGAGAAGGUCAAGGAGAUGUUUAAGGGUAUAGUUGCAGCUUGCUAUGCUUUCUUGUAGCAUUUCCUUUAAGGAAAACUGGAGAAGUCUCUUUUCUAUUUUUUUUUUCAGCAGUGGAAAUCACAACUCAGUAUUAUCAUACCUAUAAUGCCUAGAAAUAAUGUCAAUUAUGGAAUUAAAAAACAAACAAACAUUGGUUAUAUGGGAGAAAAUGUUAUUUAAAAGAGAAGAUAAAAAACUUCAGUCAAGUCCAAUAAAUAUACAAAAUAUUAUUAUAAUAUUG